This 347-nucleotide long non-coding RNA is filed under the name Solanum tuberosum (potato). RNAcentral describes it as "long non-coding RNA (STUB_LNC009359)". The record is from RNAcentral. Lineage: Eukaryota; Viridiplantae; Streptophyta; Magnoliopsida; Solanales; Solanaceae.
CCUUUCACUAAACAAUGUCCAAAUUAUUGAAGCCAUGUCAACAAUCACAGCAAUUUCCAAAGACCAAAUCGCUUGUGAAAUGUGCACCACUUGUGAAAACCCAUGUCAACCUAUUUUGCCUCCAUCACCACCACCACCAUCACCGUCACCUCCGCUUUUAUGCCCUCCUCCACCAUCACCACCACCACCACCGUCACCGCCUCCUCCACCACCGGUCAAUUAUUGUCCACCACCACCUCCACCACCGGCACGACGUUCAUGCCCGGAAGAUUGCUCUCUACAACCUCGUUCACCACCUUAUUCCAUAUAUCCUUAUUUUUCGCCACCUUUAGCUUACUCUAAUAAAU